RNAcentral lists this ribosomal RNA (790 nucleotides) under Streptomyces sp. 63(2010). RNAcentral describes it as "bacterial SSU rRNA". It matches the Rfam family "Bacterial small subunit ribosomal RNA", at positions 83 to 882 of the family's 1533-position model. Lineage: Bacteria; Bacillati; Actinomycetota; Actinomycetes; Kitasatosporales; Streptomycetaceae. The record is from RNAcentral.
GCGGCGGGGAGAGUGGCGAACGGGUGAGUAACACGGGGGCAAGCUGCGGAGCAUGCUGGGAGAAGGGGUGGAAACGGGGUCUAAUACCGGAUACUGACCCGCUUGGGCAUCCAAGCGGUUCGAAAGCUCCGGCGGUGCAGGAUGAGCCCGCGGCCUAUCAGCUUGUUGGUGAGGUAAUGGCUCACCAAGGCGACGACGGGUAGCCGGCCUGAGAGGGCGACCGGCCACACUGGGACUGAGACACGGCCCAGACUCCUACGGGAGGCAGCAGUGGGGAAUAUUGCACAAUGGGCGAAAGCCUGAUGCAGCGACGCCGCGUGAGGGAUGACGGCCUUCGGGUUGUAAACCUCUUUCAGCAGGGAAGAAGCGAAAGUGACGGUACCUGCAGAAGAAGCGCCGGCUAACUACGUGCCAGCAGCCGCGGUAAUACGUAGGGCGCGAGCGUUGUCCGGAAUUAUUGGGCGUAAAGAGCUCGUAGGCGGCUUGUCACGUCGGUUGUGAAAGCCCGGGGCUUAACCCCGGGUCUGCAGUCGAUACGGGCAGGCUAGAGUUCGGUAGGGGAGAUCGGAAUUCCUGGUGUAGCGGUGAAAUGCGCAGAUAUCAGGAGGAACACCGGUGGCGAAGGCGGAUCUCUUGGCCGAUACUGACGCUGAGGAGCGAAAGCGUGGGUCAGCGAACACGAUUAUAUACCCUGGUAGUCCACGCCGUAAACAGUGCGCACUAGGUGUGGGCGACAUUCCACGUCAUCCGUGCCAUAUCUAACGGAUUAAAUGCCUCCUCCUGGUGUAAU